Pyrus x bretschneideri (Chinese white pear) is the source of this 569-nucleotide long non-coding RNA. RefSeq lists it as uncharacterized. Lineage: Eukaryota; Viridiplantae; Streptophyta; Magnoliopsida; Rosales; Rosaceae. The transcript has 2 exons. The record is from RefSeq and is a predicted model, not a curated record.
AUCUGUUCAAAGUACUUCUCACUUGAUGCAUGUGUCUUGCCGCAAAUCUUCUACGCGCGAUAUCUGCAUUUUGUAAAAUCUCUGAAAAACUACUGCCAUGACAAACCGACGCCCGUGGGUGAAUGCAGCUCAACGUGGAUCAAACAUUCCGAGCAAAAGAGGCAAACCAAAGUCAGCAGUAACCAAUCCUUUCAAUUAUUGAGAGAGAGAGAGAGAGAUGAAUGGGACCCCAACUUUCCCACCGCCCGACCAUUACAAGCUGUGACUGCGGUGCACUCGUGCGCUUGGUUGGUUCUGAUGAACCUUAUAAUUUCAUAUCUUGGCAGAACAUGUACGGCUUAAAACGUGUACGAGUUUUUCGUGCUGACUUGAUUUCUUUUUAAUAAGUGUAAUGAGAUUAAGCAUUGGGCAUCCAGAUCACAUGACCAUUCGACCAGACAAUUUAAGCUACACUCCAAUCUCUCGUUGUAACUUGAUUUCAUCAUUUUGUGUAUGUUGCCCUAUAUAGACGUCCGAACAUAGGAUUUUAUCAUUUGUGAGACUAAAAACAUUUCAUUACAUUUUGAUAA